RNAcentral lists this transfer RNA (86 nucleotides) under Candidatus Falkowbacteria bacterium CG10_big_fil_rev_8_21_14_0_10_37_6. Its description in RNAcentral is "tRNA-OTHER". It matches the Rfam family "tRNA". Rfam says of the family: Transfer RNA (tRNA) molecules are approximately 80 nucleotides in length. Their secondary structure includes four short double-helical elements and three loops (D, anti-codon, and T loops). The record is from RNAcentral. Lineage: Bacteria; Candidatus Falkowiibacteriota.
GCAGGCUUAGCUCAGUGGUAGAGCAUCCGAAGAAUUCUUACGAAUUCAUUAAAGGAAGGUCGCGGGUUCAAAUCCUGCAGCCUGCU